This 254-nucleotide ribosomal RNA is filed under the name uncultured bacterium. RNAcentral's name for it is "partial 16S ribosomal RNA". It matches the Rfam family "Bacterial small subunit ribosomal RNA", at positions 524 to 776 of the family's 1533-position model. The record is from RNAcentral.
UACGUAGGGGGCGAGCGUUGUCCGGAUUUAUUGGGCGUAAAGAGCUCGUAGGCGGUUUGGUAAGUUGGAUGUGAAAUCUCCAGGCUCAACUUGGAGGGGUCAUUCGAUACUGCCAUGACUAGAGUUCGGUAGGGGAGUGUGGAAUUCCUGGUGGAGCGGUGAAAUGCGCAGAUAUCAGGAGGAACACCGGUGGCGAAGGCGGAUCUCUGGGCCUUACCUGACGCUCAGGCGCGAAAGCUAGGGGAGCGAACAGG